RNAcentral lists this long non-coding RNA (5491 nucleotides) under Homo sapiens (human). RNAcentral's name for it is "HSALNT0040651". The record is from RNAcentral. Lineage: Eukaryota; Metazoa; Chordata; Mammalia; Primates; Hominidae.
GCUGAUAUCACCUGUAAGCUAUUGGAGCAGUGCCCAUAGUGCUGUCAUUGAAUCUAGAUCACAUCCCUAUAUAUCUUCCUAAACUAUGUACACAGCACUGCACCAGAACUGCUGUCAGCAUCCACACUCAAGCAGCUGCUCUUCUUACAAUGCUUCCUGGAGGCAUUCUCUCUUUUUGAUUUUCUAAGACUGCUACUCAAACCACUGAUGCCAUCACAACUGACUGCCCUACUCAGGCAUCUCUGAGAUGCUUUGCUACAAAAUAAGGAGAAAAAUUCUCUUUCCCAUGUGGUCUUUUUUGGACACAUUUCAUAGUAGGGCUGCUUGGUGCUAGAAUCAGUCUGGCUUUACAAAUACAUGACCUCAUGGUCUCUCUCUUUCCCCAGGAUAAAUGCUCAGGGAUAGCCGGUAGGUUAACCUGAGUUCAACUAAAGCUGACUUAAUGUAACCAGGAUGAUUCAUCCUCUCCAGCUCUGAAAUCUAUCACUGAGUCAAGCUGUAUUUGAUAUACACUCUCCUCCAUGAUCAUAGAUUUUCUACCAGGGGGCCCACAGUCACUGGUAAAUUAUGGUAAUUUGGAUACUGUUAUGGAAUGAAUUAUGUUCCCUCAAAAUGCAUAUGUUGAAACCCUUCCCCUGAUGUGGCUGUAUUUGGAAAUAAGACCUUUAAGGAGAUAACUAAAGUUAAAUGAGGGCAUAAGUGUGGGGCUUUAAUCCAAUAGAACUCAUGUUCUUGUAAGAACCUUCUUCCCCCACCCUCUCCUUCUCUCCCCCCUCCCUCCACCCCCAAUGCAUGCACACAGGAAAGAUGAUGUGAGUACACAGAGAGAAUGCAGCUGUCUGUAAGCCGGGAAGAAAGAACUCAAUAGAAACCAACUAUGACAACAUCGUUAUCUUGGACUUCUAGCCUCCAUAACUCUCUGCAGGAUGAAUUUCCCUGAAUUCGCUGGGAUGAACUGAUGGAAAACCAGGAGAAGCCAGAAUAUAUCUCAUCCUCCCCUGCCUCAGCUACUCCACCACCUCCUCACCCUCCUGCCCAUGUCUCUAGCUCCCACUAGAGAGGCCCAUUAGACUCCAGCCUCUGUCACAUUAUCCUGGCCUCUGCACUCUGAUAUCAUCCUACAUUCUUUAUGUCAAUUGCCUACAAAUGGUAAUGACUUUCUACCAUUUCUAUUUGAUUUAUCGCACCAUUCUCUCUGUGCCUCUAUCACCUAUAUCAUCAAUUCCUUACUGAUUUCCUCUCUGUUGUAUUAUAUAUUCUUAAAGUGGUUUUGAUUUUCUCAUGUGGAUACUAAUAUGUGUAUGCAUUUGCUUGUUUGUUUAUGUCAUAACUUAUGCCGUGCGUUAUUCCAGAAAAGGUUUAAAGCAAUUUGGAGAAAAUGUAAAAUAUAAGAAGAUAUAUAUCAAAAAUUAAAAGUGGAUUUUUUUUAAAGCUGGGUACAAGGAUAAACUAAACUAAUUUGAUGUAAUAAUGUCAGGUAUAAAGCUAAACUAGCCCGGGCAUGGUGACUCACACCUCUACUCCCAGUACUUUGAGAGGGCAAGGUGAAAGGAUGGCUUGAGACCAGGAAUUCAAGAUCAGCCUUGGCAACGUAGCAAGACUCUGUCUCUACAAAAACAAAAAAAAAAACAAAAAACGAACAAACAAAAUUACCCAGCAGGCAUGGUGGAGCAAGCCUGUAGUCCUAGCUACUGUGGGAGCUGAAGCUGUGGGAUCGUUUGAGCCAGAAGGUCAAGGCCUCAGUAAGCUAUGAUCACAUCACUGCACUCCAUCCUAGGUGACAGAGUAAAACCUUAUCUCUAAAACAAAAUAAAUAAAUAAAUAGAGCUGAAACAAUGCACAACCAGCCUUUGGCAGCAGAUGGCCCUUACAUUUAACUCUAAACUUUCUAGUAGUAAGUGUAAAAAGGGAAACAUGAUUAGCUUGAAAAUUCACAGGUAGGAAGAGAAGAGGAGAAGGAGGAAGAGAAGGAAGUAAUUGUUUAUUUAACUAUUAGGAUCCACUGUUAUUUGUGACAUCUGAUUAAGGUACACGUAAGGUUUUAUCUUUUAAAAUUUUUUAUUUUCCUAAAAGAAACCACUCAAGCAUUCAUGUGGCCAUCUAUUAUUGUUUAAUUCACUCCAUAUCCAACCACUCUCCAAUAUUCCUGGAGUUGAUUCAGUCCAAAGAGAGCUUUCAUGAUGUAUCAUGGUCACAAUUGGAUUCUUCAUAUCCAAUAAAACUGUCAGAGUUAGGCACAGCUCCAUCAGACCAGACGCACUCUUUUCUCAUAGAAAGCCGUCUUCUUUGGGAGCUCAUGGGUAACUUCCUAACAAGGACCUCGGUGCAACCAACACUGGCUGUCAGAAUGUCCUAAUGGCAUUGAAUAUUGUAUGCACAAUUUGUUUUGUAGCUUCUAAAUGAUGCAAAAUAUUUCAUAGUGUCCACAAUCACAUAUCUUUUAUUCAUUUCCCAACAUUAUUUUCAGCACGUUACAUUUGUACUCUGUACAAGGAUUUAUUUGGGAUAUACACCUAGAACUCAUUUCUCAGGGGCACAGAAGCCCAACAGGAAACAAUUAAGAUCAUUAAGUAUAGACAGAUUUAUUUCCAAAAGGGUUUUUCUCGUUUAUGUUCCCCAUGAUAAUAAUUUUAAAAGAUUUAUAAAUAUUCUUAUUUUCUCACAUCUCUGCCAAUGUUGUUUUUAUCUAAUUUUCUAAUUUUUACCUACGGAGACUGUAAAGAGGUAUUCCAUUGCAGUUUCACUUUUCUCUGACUACUAAUGAGUUUGAGCAUUUCUCCAUAUAACUUUACAUCAACUAUACUUCUUUGUAAAUCAACUGCUCAUCUUCUUUACCAAAUCUUUAAUUGAGUUUCCUUUCUUUCCUUUGGAAGUUAACAUGAAUCAUUAAAGAUAAAUACUGUUGAUUUGUGUCACCUGAGGUCAGGAGUUCCAGACCAUCGUGGCCAACAUGAUGAAACCCUGUCUUUACUAAAAAUCAGAAAAUUAGGCCGGUUGCGGUGCCCGUAAUUAUGCCUGUAAUCCCAGCACUUUGGGAGGCCGCGGUAGGCGAAUCACGAGGUCAGGAAAUCGAGACCAUCCUGGCCAACAGAAACCCUGUCUCUACUAAAAAUACAAAAACUAGCUGGGCGUGGCGGGGCGUGCCCGUAGUCCCAGCACUCGGGAGGCUGGGGCGGGAGAAUCGCUUGAACUCAGGGGGCGGGAGAGUCGCUUGAACUCAGGAGGCGGAGUUUGCAGUGAGCCAAGAUGGCGCCGCUGCACUCCAGCCUGGCUACAGAGGUAGACUCCCUCUCAGAUUUAACAAAAAAAAAAAAAAAAUAGCUGGGCGUCGUGUCGGCACGCCUGUAAUCUCAGCUAUUCAAGAGGCUGAGGCAGGAGAAUCGCUUGAACUGGGAGGCGCAGGUUGCAGUGAGCCGAGAUCGCGCCACCAAACUCCAGCCUGGGCGACAGAACAAAACUCCCUCUCAACAACAACAACAACAAAAUACUAUUGAUUUGUUUAGGCUGACUUUCUGAGCAACAAUCUUGAUAAAUUACUUUAUUUAUUGUAAUAAUUGCUUUUUUUCUGUUGAAUUUAAUUUUAUUUUGACAAUUGUGCAAUCAACAAAUGAAGACAUUUUUAACUCUACCUCUUCGUAUUAGUUCGUUUUCACACUGCUGAUAAAGCCAUACCUGAGAGUGGGUAAUUUAUAAAGAAAAAGCGGUUUAAUGGGCUCACAGUUCCACGUGGCUGUGGAGGCCUCACAAUCAUGGCGGAAAGUGAAAGGCACAUCUUGCAUUGGCCCCAGGUGAGAGAGAAUGAAAAACCAAGCGAAAGGGGUUUCCUCUUAUAAAACCAUCAGCUCAGGUGAGACUUAUUUGUUACCAAAAGAACAGUACGUGGGAAACCGGCCCAGUGAUUCAAUUAUCUCCCACCGGGUCUCUCCCAUAACACGUGGAAAUUAUAGGAACUACAAUUCAAAAUGAGGUUUGGGUGAGAGGACCCAGCCAAUCCAUAUCCCUCUCAUAUCUCAAACUCUUUUUUUUUUUCUUCUCUGAUAGUUUUGGUUAUAACUGUGCAAAACACUAUUGAUGAAAAUAGGCAUUCUUUUAUUUGUUUUUAAAGAAACUAUGUUUAAAUGCCCUCAAUUAAAUAUAACAUUUGGUAUAGUUCCCAAGUAUAUAGGCACAUUCUUUAGGGACGCUUUUUUCUACCACAAUUUUUCUGAGUUUUUAAUAAAAACAAGUGUGAUAUUAUUUAUUUUUCAGAUCUAUUGAAGUGAUAGUGUUUUUUAUUAUGUGGUCCUUCAAUGUGAUGAACAAUAGUAUACACUGGUUACCAAUUAUUAACAUUAUGAGUAGAUGACAGGUAUAAUUGAAGUCACGUUGUUGGCUGGGGUAAAUACCCGAAGUUCGUCAUCUCACGCCAAGGAUAUUAAGUAGGCGGACACACAAGAAGUGGGUUUAGAAGCAGAGGUUUAAUAGGCAAAAGAAGGAGAAAGGAGCAAAGCUCUCUCUCUCCUGAGAGACAGGUGCCCCAGUGGGACUUCUGGCCAUCAGUGGAGCCCACAGGGUUUUAUAGACAGCCUGGAGGAGGCGGUGUCUGAUUUACGCACAGCUCACAGAUUGGUUGGACCAGGUGUGACGUUUACAUAGUGCAUGAGGAAACUGGCCACCCCAGCUUAAUCUUUCGUUAUGCAAAUGGGGUCUCUACUUGGCCAGCACUAUGUUCCCUGCUCCUUACUGUGCCCGUGACAAGGAAAGGAGACGAUGGAGCCGCCAUGUUGAACACGUCUAGCCUCAGGUAGCCUUUUCCUAUUGGCACAGCUGCAGGCAUUCACCCUUGCAAGCUUCCAGCUCGCUCAUCUAUGUCUGCAGCUUGUUUUUACAGGCUGCUCUUUGUUAGAUAACAAAAUGACUUGGGGGCUGCUUUUCAUUAAAAGGAAAACCUUACAAUCUGCCUAAAUAAUUUCUUCUUAAGUCCUAUAUCAUAAUUUUCUGUCAAUAAGUAUCGUUCCAUUUUAAAAAUAAACAGUAUUUUAAGGAUUUUAAAAAUUUUCCAACAAACUGUUUAAUUAAGAUAGUCAAAUUUUAUUUAAUAGCUAUGCAUUUGCAUUUAUAAGAUUGGUCUCUAAUUUCUUUUCCUUAUUUCUCCUUAUUCUUAUUUUAUGGGAUUUUAUGAGCUACAACAAAAUGAGUUGGCAAUUAGUCUUCCUUUUGAUUUUUGUGACCAUUUGUUUAAUGUUUUUAAAACAUUUAGAGGGGUAGAUUUGAAACAAUUUGUCUCUAAAAAUGUCUGGGCAUGAGAUUUUUUGAGGAAGUAUAGGAAUCUUUGUUUAUCAUUUAAUUUCUUUCAUGAAUACAAGUCUAUUAACAUUUUCUAUUGCUUUUUUUUUUACCAAAUUCUGCCAUUCUCAUUUUUCAGAAAUGUAUCAAUUGUAUUUUAUUUUAAAAUGUAUUUUAUGCAAUCUUUGUAACAUGCUUUGAAAUUUUAAUAUUUUGAUAUUCCCUU